Molecule: non-coding RNA, 220 nt
Organism: Pelobates cultripes (western spadefoot toad)
Lineage: Eukaryota; Metazoa; Chordata; Amphibia; Anura; Pelobatidae
Source: the annotation of a GenBank genome assembly
UGGAUGAAAAGGAAUUUGAUUAGGACGAACUGCUCCAAACUAAUUUUUGCAAAGGUCUAGUAGUUACUAAAAACAGUUAAGCCCAUAUUUGGAAAGGUUGGGGUAGUAUUUUGUUCAAUUUAUUUUUAAUAUGUCAAUUCCCAUAAGGUACAAAUUGUGCCUGGUUCUAUGUUAAAGCACAGAAAAUACACACGACCAGUGAAAAGACUUGUUCUAGUAA